RNAcentral lists this ribosomal RNA (253 nucleotides) under uncultured bacterium. RNAcentral's name for it is "partial 16S ribosomal RNA". It matches the Rfam family "Bacterial small subunit ribosomal RNA", at positions 524 to 776 of the family's 1533-position model. The record is from RNAcentral.
UACGUAGGUGGCAAGCGUUGUCCGGAUUUACUGGGUGUAAAGGGCGUGCAGCCGGGCUGACAAGUCGGAUGUGAAAUCCCGCGGCUCAACCGCGGAACUGCAUUUGAAACUGUCAGUCUUGAGUACCGGAGAGGUCAUCGGAAUUCCUUGUGUAGCGGUGAAAUGCGUAGAUAUAAGGAAGAACACCAGUGGCGAAGGCGGAUGACUGGACGGCAACUGACGGUGAGACGCGAAAGCGUGGGGAGCAAACAGG